UACGUAGGUGGCAAGCGUUGUCCGGAAUUAUUGGGCGUAAAGCGCGCGCAGGCGGUCCCUUAAGUCUGAGGUGAAAGCCCACGGCUCAACCGUGGAGGGUCAUUGGAAACUGGGGGACUUGGGUGCAGAAGAGGAAAGUGGAAUUCCACGUGUAGCGGUGAAAUGCGUAGAGAUGUGGAGGAAAACGAGUGGCGAAGGCGACUCUCUGGUCUGUAACUGACGCUGAGGAGCGAAAGCGUGGGGAGCAACCAGG
This 253-nucleotide unclassified non-coding RNA is filed under the name uncultured Caryophanales bacterium. RNAcentral's name for it is "uncultured Bacillales bacterium contains 16S-23S intergenic spacer region". It matches the Rfam family "Bacterial small subunit ribosomal RNA", at positions 524 to 776 of the family's 1533-position model. The record is from RNAcentral. Lineage: Bacteria; Bacillati; Bacillota; Bacilli; Caryophanales.